GGACUACUAGGGUUUCUAAUCCUGUUUGCUCCCCACGCUUUCGCACCUCAGCGUCAGUAUCUGCCCAGGUCGCCGCCUUCGCCACUGGUGUUCCUCCCGAUAUCUACGAAUUUCACCUCUACACCGGGAAUUCCGCGACCCUCUUCAGUACUCAAGCCUGCCAGUUUCGAGUGCACUUCCUGGGUUGAGCCCAGGGAUUUCACACCCGACUUAACAGGCCGCCUACGUGCGCUUUACGCCCAAUGAUUCCGAGCAACGUUUGCACCCUCCGUAUUACCGCGGCUGCUGGCAC
RNAcentral lists this ribosomal RNA (292 nucleotides) under uncultured bacterium. RNAcentral's name for it is "partial 16S ribosomal RNA". The record is from RNAcentral.